UGGGACUAUACUGGGUAGUUGUUGUUGUUGUAAUAAAUGGAAACAAGUCAAAUUGCAAUAGUCAAGUCAAAUGCUACUCUGGUGAAGUUUCAAGCUGCUAAUGUUUUGAGACUGUAAUUUAUGCUCAAAUUGAAAGAACCAAGACGUAUAAACAUAUAUUUGUCUCGAGGUAGAUAAAACAAUUCUUUGGGCGUUGUUUAUGCUUUGGUUAAUUGAACCCUGUAAUCCUUUGUCUGUCAUGGUAUAGCCGAUGAUUCUAAGGAUGGUUUUCUUCUCUAUGGUGGAAAC
This 288-nucleotide long non-coding RNA is filed under the name Nicotiana benthamiana. Its description in RNAcentral is "long non-coding RNA (NBEN_LNC023015)". The record is from RNAcentral. Lineage: Eukaryota; Viridiplantae; Streptophyta; Magnoliopsida; Solanales; Solanaceae.